RNAcentral lists this ribosomal RNA (450 nucleotides) under uncultured bacterium. RNAcentral's name for it is "partial 16S ribosomal RNA". It matches the Rfam family "Bacterial small subunit ribosomal RNA", at positions 354 to 796 of the family's 1533-position model. The record is from RNAcentral.
GUGGGGAAUCUUCCGCAAUGGACGAAAGUCUGACGGAGCAACGCCGCGUGAGUGAAGAAGGUUUUCGGAUCGUAAAGCUCUUUCGUUAGGGACGAACGUGCUCUUUGUGAAUAAUGAGGAGUAAUGACGGUACCUAAAUAAGAAGCCACGGCUAACUACGUGCCAGCAGCCGCGGUAAUACGUAGGUGGCAAGCGUUGUCCGGAAUUAUUUGGCGUAAAGCGCGCGCAGGCGGGAUAUCAAGUCUGUCUUAAAAGUGCGAGGCUCAACCUCGUGAGGGGACAGAAACUGGUAUUCUUGAGUGUCGGAGAGGAAAGUGGAAUUCCAAGUGUAGCGGUGAAAUGCGUAGAGAUUUGGAAGAACACCAGUGGCGAAGGCGACUUUCUGGACGAUGUCUGACGCUGAGGCGCGAAAGCUAGGGGAGCGAACGGGAUUAGAUACCCGAGUAGUCC